RNAcentral lists this non-coding RNA (24 nucleotides) under Arabidopsis thaliana (thale cress). Lineage: Eukaryota; Viridiplantae; Streptophyta; Magnoliopsida; Brassicales; Brassicaceae. The record is from RNAcentral.
GACCCGUUGGAUGGGACGGGAUGC